CUGAUUGUUUGGGAAUCCUCAGUCACGCUACUAAUGAUCAGCUUUUAAUAGUCCAGUGCAGGGUUGGAGGACGACUCUUCUCCAUGGAGUUAUUUGAAGAGCCAACUCUUCCCAUCCUCUAGAGACUGAGUUCUUUUAUGCAUUCACUAGACAGGUGAAAGAAGACUUCAGAGGUAUGGCCUAGAAUUGGUACUCAUCACUUCCAUCCAUGCGCCAUUGGCCAACACUCAGUCCUAUGACCCCACCUACUUUCCCAAAGUUUUGGGAACUGUAUUCCCAGGAGGAAGAAAAGAAACUUGAAUAUUGGCAAUACUAGCAUUGCCUUCCUUAUCUCUGAGAGGAAAUCCAACAAAUAACUUCUACUUUUUGACAUUUUUAUGUCUUUUCCACUUUUUUCCCUAGUAACUAUGUAUUAUAAGAGAAAAAUGUAUAAUUAGAAGCUCUCAAAGUUUUUUAAAAAGCUACUUCUUUAGUUUCUAUGACAUGAAUUUGCACUGUCUAGAGUAUUUCCUUGGACAUUCAAAAGGUAAAAUUUGGUUCAGCAAGAGUUGCUGCUGCAGGAUUUCAUUAUUAACACCAUAAGAAGAAAUCCACGCAAUGUGAACAGUCCUUUGAUUCAACCGAUGGAAUUAAAUAUCUAAAUAGCAUUGAGAAGUACAUUGGUUAUUCCACAAAUUUAUCAAAUAUUGCUUAAGAAAACCAGGUGUUGAGAAAUCUAACUUUAAAUCAUGUUUUUGGUAGAAAGAGAUGGAAAGGUGGAAAUGUCUGAGAUGCAAACUCCUGAUCCUCAAGCCCUUUCCUGUGAGCAGUCUUUCUAUGGCUCAAUCGCUCCCAAACUGUCCUUAACCCAUCCACAUCUGCCCUCGUCUUUUUUGGGAGUAAAGAAGAAGCAGAGAGAGAGAGGAUGCUGGAGAAGUAUAGAAACCGCUUCCUUCAGUCUCUCCCUUCAACGUCCAGAGGCCAACAUUUAUUCUGGAGAGUACUGAAAAUGUUAACUCCCAAACUGUCGAGGUGAUGGCAAUCCUUUCUUCCUUCCUUCCCUCCAUCCAUCCAUCCAUCCACCCACUCACUUAUCCAAGAAACAUUGAUUGAGACUCGACAAGGAAAAAGGAACUGUGCAAUGUAACUUUAUUUUUGGUCUUCUACUUUGAUUUGCUACAUGAUGAUGAAAGUCUUUCUCAAUAUGCGUACUGGAGAGCUGGUACACUGAUGGAAAUUCUAUUUGCUCUAAAACAGCCCUUUUAAACAGGAUCUGCUCAGAUCCCAAUCUGGAAUCUUAUCUUAACCACCAGACCGUUCCUUCUGUAAUUCAGGAGAGCACCCCUCUACCCUCACCUGCUCAAAAUAUCCUGUAAUCUUUGUGUUCUCACUGUAGUUCUUCGAGUUUCAUAUUGUCCUUAUCCACCUCCAAGUCUAGUUGGAUUGCAGAGUUAAGUUUAUGAUUAUGA
This 1448-nucleotide long non-coding RNA is filed under the name Equus caballus (horse). Its description in RNAcentral is "lncRNA (ENSECAG00000047507.1)". Lineage: Eukaryota; Metazoa; Chordata; Mammalia; Perissodactyla; Equidae. The record is from RNAcentral.